This 365-nucleotide ribosomal RNA is filed under the name uncultured organism. RNAcentral describes it as "bacterial SSU rRNA". It matches the Rfam family "Bacterial small subunit ribosomal RNA", at positions 526 to 896 of the family's 1533-position model. The record is from RNAcentral.
CGGAGGAUCCAAGCGUUAUCCGGAAUCAUUGGGUUUAAAGGGUCCGUAGGCGGUCUAGUAAGUCAGUGGUGAAAGCCCAUCGCUCAACGGUGGAACGGCCAUUGAUACUGCUGGACUUGAAUUAUUAGGAAGUAACUAGAAUAUGUAGUGUAGCGGUGAAAUGCUUAGAGAUUACAUGGAAUACCAAUUGCGAAGGCAGGUUACUACUAAUGGAUUGACGCUGAUGGACGAAAGCGUGGGUAGCGAACAGGAUUAGAUACCCUGGUAGUCCACGCCGUAAACGAUGGAUACUAGCUGUGGGCGCAAGUUCAGUGGCUAAGCGAAAGUGAUAAGUAUCCCACCUGGGGAGUACGUUCGCAAGAUAG